RNAcentral lists this ribosomal RNA (482 nucleotides) under uncultured bacterium. RNAcentral describes it as "bacterial SSU rRNA". It matches the Rfam family "Bacterial small subunit ribosomal RNA", at positions 32 to 524 of the family's 1533-position model. The record is from RNAcentral.
AAUCAACGCUGGCGGCGUGCCUCAGACAUGCAAGUCGAACGAUUAAAGCUCUCUUCGGAGAGUGCAUAGAGUGGCGCACGGGUGAGUAACACGUAAGUAAUCUACCUUCGAGUGGGGAAUAACGUCCGGAAACGGACGCUAAUACCGCAUAAUGCAGCGGCAUCGUAAGAUGACAGUUGUUAAAGAUUUAUCGCUUGAAGAGGAGCUUGCGGCAGAUUAGCUAGUUGGUAAGGUAAUGGCUUACCAAGGCUACGAUCUGUAACCGGUCUUAGAGGACGGUCGGUCACACUGACACUGAAUAACGGGUCAGACUCCUACGGGAGGCAGCAGUCGGGAAUUUUGGGCAAUGGGCGAAAGCCUGACCCAGCAACGCCGCGUGAAGGAUGAAGUAUUUCGGUAUGUAAACUUCGUAAGAAUAGGAAGAAUAAAUGACGGUACUAUUUGUAAGGUCCGGCUAACUACGUGCCAGCAGCCGCGGUAAU